This 201-nucleotide ribosomal RNA is filed under the name uncultured bacterium. Its description in RNAcentral is "partial 16S ribosomal RNA". It matches the Rfam family "Bacterial small subunit ribosomal RNA", at positions 524 to 718 of the family's 1533-position model. The record is from RNAcentral.
UACGUAGGGUCCAAGCGUUGUCCGGAAUUAUUGGGCGUAAAGAGCUCGUAGGCGGUGUGUCGCGUCGGAUGUGAAAAGCCCCGGGGGCUUAACCCCCGGGUCUGCAUUCGGUACGGGCAUGCUGGAGUUCGGUAGGGGGAGACUGGAAUUCCUGGUGUAGCGGUGAAAUGCGCAGAUAAUCAGGAGGAACACCGGUGGCGA